AGCGGGUUAAGUUAUUUAGACUGGGUAUUUUCAAAAUACUUUGAGGGAUUUUGUUU
This 56-nucleotide transfer RNA is filed under the name Gyrocotyle urna. RNAcentral describes it as "tRNA-Trp". Lineage: Eukaryota; Metazoa; Platyhelminthes; Cestoda; Gyrocotylidea; Gyrocotylidae. The record is from RNAcentral.